This 215-nucleotide long non-coding RNA is filed under the name Lathyrus oleraceus (garden pea). Its description in RNAcentral is "Pisum sativum (pea) long non-coding RNA (PSAT_LNC022372)". The record is from RNAcentral. Lineage: Eukaryota; Viridiplantae; Streptophyta; Magnoliopsida; Fabales; Fabaceae.
UAAGUAUCAAUUUAUGGAUUGAUCUUCUCCUUAUAACAAACAAAUCUAUUAAUGAUAUACAAGUGUUCACUAUGAAUGAAAUGAAACUUAGAAUCUUUUUCUAUGAAGGUUAAGUGCAGAAAGUUUCACUCUUAAAAUUCUGGUUUUGAACACUUAGAGAAUAUUUAAAUGUUUAAAAAUUUGCAAAAGGAUGUGAGAUUAAAAUUUGAAGAAAU